RNAcentral lists this unclassified non-coding RNA (334 nucleotides) under Hevea brasiliensis (rubber tree). Lineage: Eukaryota; Viridiplantae; Streptophyta; Magnoliopsida; Malpighiales; Euphorbiaceae. The record is from RNAcentral.
GUUAUAGCCUUGUAAUUUUUGGGUUAAAUAAUCCUGGGUUUUUUCUGUAGUUGUGGUAGAUUUGGGUUUGACAUUUAAAAAAGUCUGAAUUUUGUAUAGGUUUUCAAUGUAAGUUUGGGAUAUAUGGUUAUAUAUUUUCUUUUCCUUGUGUAGGCUGGCUGCAUAUGUAGAUGUUUGUGGUGUUGGGGUUUCUACUAUCUGUGCCUUUGGAAUAAAUGGUUUUGUAAAUAAGUUGUUUAGGUUUGUAUUUUUUGAUGUAGUUUUUUCCAUAGUUGCUGUACUUGUACCUGCAACACUAGCAAUGUUAAUGUUAUGGGUUUUAAGGAGUUUCCCA